This is a long non-coding RNA of Ooceraea biroi (clonal raider ant), 567 nucleotides long. RefSeq lists it as uncharacterized. The record is from RefSeq and is a predicted model, not a curated record. NCBI's taxonomy places the organism in Eukaryota, Metazoa, Arthropoda, Insecta, Hymenoptera, Formicidae.
AUUAUAACAAUGUUUAGACGAUGUUUGGAGGACUAUGAAUAGAAUGACAGUACCGAUGUGUGGUUCCCGCGAACUAGAAUUGUCGGUGGCAUAUCCCUCUAUACAACUGGGAAUACUUUGUUAUACGUACAUGACCACCAAGGAAGACUGACUCGAGUUCUCCAAUAGCAACUCUCGCAAUCGCAACUGCCGACGUGUUUUAUCUUGUAAGGCCUCAAGCUGAGAAUCGAUUUUUUUGAAUGUUCCAGUGCAUCGGUGUGUGAUCUUUGAUCACAUGCGUCGCGUGCGCAAGUGUAUCAAAUGAUGUAUCUGUAGAACCUAGAAAACAAAAUGAUAAAUUUGACGCAAAAAUAUAUGGCAAAUAUUUUAAGAGACCUGUAAUCUCUUAAUUUUGCAUGAUUACAGCUGCUAAUCAAUAGUUACAUAUUGAUCGAGAGAGACUGCUAUCGGCGUGCAUUAUACCGUUCCUUGUCAGAUCGUAGCUACUUUGCGUGAUAUUCUCGUCGGUUUCUUUCGCAUUCGUCAUGCCUGAACAGUCUAAACCUUCAGUGAGCCUCACAAUAGCUA